Molecule: non-coding RNA, 445 nt
Organism: Austrofundulus limnaeus
Lineage: Eukaryota; Metazoa; Chordata; Actinopteri; Cyprinodontiformes; Rivulidae
Source: the annotation of a RefSeq genome assembly
AGCAGCAGCAGCAGCAGAGCAGUGUCACUCUGGUGUGUCUGGCCCAAGGGGGCUUCCCCUCAAGCUGGAGGCUGGGCUGGAAGGUGGGGGGCAGCAGCAGGUCCUCAGACGUGUCAAACAGCCUGGAGGUCCUGGGGAGGGACGGCCUCUACAGCUGGAGCAGCACCCUGAGCCUCCCUGCAGACCAGUGGAGGAAGGCGGGCUCAGUCAGCUGUGAGGCCAAUCAGAGUGGACAGAGUCCUGUCACUCAAAGCCUGGACCCUGACAGCUGCUCAGAGUAGAACUUCAGCACAACUUCAUGAUGCUGCUUCACUCAUGGAGGUCUGGGUGAAGCUACACGUCUCCUCUGCUCUCAGAUUUCAGCUCAAUCAUGACUUUUUAUCUUCAGACAGCUUUCUGACAUUCUGCUUGCUUUUGUUUCAGAAUAAAUCCUGAUAUUCAAUUU